UAGGGAAUCUUCCACAAUGGACGCAAGUCUGAUGGAGCAAUGCCGCGUGAGUGAAGAAGGGUUUCGGCUCGUAAAACCCUGUUGUUAAAGAAGAACAUAUCUGAGAGUAACUGUUCAGGUAUUGACGGUAUUUAACCAGAAAGCCACGGCUAACUACGUGCCAGCAGCCGCGGUAAUACGUAGAUGCCAGCAGCCGCGGUAAUACGUAGGUGCCAGCAGCCGCGGUAAUACGUACGUG
RNAcentral lists this ribosomal RNA (238 nucleotides) under uncultured Lactobacillus sp. RNAcentral describes it as "partial 16S ribosomal RNA". The stretch from base 1 to 190 matches the Rfam family "Bacterial small subunit ribosomal RNA", at positions 355 to 537 of the family's 1533-position model. The record is from RNAcentral. Lineage: Bacteria; Bacillati; Bacillota; Bacilli; Lactobacillales; Lactobacillaceae.